UGAUUUCGCAGUAAAAAUGGCCACAGAGUGUUGUGCGGUCGACUGCACUAACAGACGGGUGAAAACCUGUUAUUUUGUUGUAUAACCUUUGGGAUGGAAAGCUGCUGUCAUUCAUGACUGCCAGCCCUCGGUGUAACCGAGUGAGAAGGUUAACGUUCGUAUACUUUAUAAAUGACGUUAGAGGCUGCACACCUGGAGGAGCGUGCCCGCUGACUCAGUCAGCGCACCUGUGACUCAUCACCCAAUCAUCCUGGAGUUUGAGAGGAGGCGCAGACUGUCAGGACCUUUGCCAGUAAUGGUGAUUCCUCGUGACGCCUUGGAAGUUUCCCUGUGAAAACCCUUGACCUGGCUUUUGGACUUUCCUUCCUCGUGAUGCCGUGGAUAGUUACCCACUGGUUUUCUGAGUCCCUUCUUCAUCUCUGCAGAUUAACCAUAAACCGUUCCUGGAUUACCCAGCUGUCAGUCGGCUCGCUCCUCUGUUCUCCUCCACGCCUGAACUUACCUGUCUAGGUUCACCGCAUUCUCCACGACAUCUACCCAGAACUCACUCAGUCAAGACCUCACUCUGGAACCUGGAUCACCUUAAGAACACACACAAAGAUACCAAAACCACUAACCAACAGCUUUUACUCUUCUGGGUUGAAGGAACCUGUAAAUCAAUGUGCAGACGAACCUGUGUGCCUCCACCAAGGACCAGAGCCUUUCACCAACGUUUUCAUAUUGUUCAAAUAAACUUUAUUUAUCCUAUUACCUGAUCUCCUGGUGGUGUUCCGCAUGUGGGUUAAGAAACUGGAACCCAUCAUGACA
This is a long non-coding RNA of Gambusia affinis (western mosquitofish), 807 nucleotides long. RefSeq lists it as uncharacterized. NCBI's taxonomy places the organism in Eukaryota, Metazoa, Chordata, Actinopteri, Cyprinodontiformes, Poeciliidae. The record is from RefSeq and is a predicted model, not a curated record. The transcript is spliced from 4 exons.